CUCCGCGGAAUGCUCUACCCUGGCGAGGAGCGGAAGGACACCGGGUAUAGCAGGCUAUCCUCAAGCGGCCUGAGAGCACGUACUUCCCGAGAGCAUCUGUGCGUGGGACUGCCCUCGGCUCUGGGAUGGAGCGGUGCACAAAAUCCAUGAGCUUCACGUUUGAACCAGAAGUUCAGAGGGGCUUGUGCUGACCUAACACGAGUACCUUACUAAACCAUGACUCCUGUUGAAGGGGAUGUUCCACUGCAGAUUCUGAUGAUCACGCUGUUUGAGCUCCUGCCCUGUACCUGGACAGGAUCUGACCAGCAACGGAGAACCAGCCCGUGGGCUCAGCGCCCAGACUGGGCCGAACCAGUUGUCGACAGCGGCACCGUGUGGCCGUGAGGAGAAAUGACAAUAGCAGGUUGCUGCAAUUCCAGG
This is a long non-coding RNA of Globicephala melas (long-finned pilot whale), 420 nucleotides long. RefSeq lists it as uncharacterized. The record is from RefSeq and is a predicted model, not a curated record. Lineage: Eukaryota; Metazoa; Chordata; Mammalia; Artiodactyla; Delphinidae.